AAUGAACGUUGGCGGCAUGGAUUAGGCAUGCAAGUCGGGGGAAUCCCAGCAAUGGGGGAACCGGCGUAAGGGGCAGUAAGGCAUGGGUACCUACCUUGGGGUUCGGGAUAGCCAUCAGAGAUGGUGGGUAAUACCGGAUGACGUCGUGAGACCACAGAUUUAUCGCCCUUAGAGGGGCCCAUGUGAUAUUAGCUAGUUGGUGGGGUAACGGCCCACCAAGGGGAAGAUGUCUAGCGGGUGUGAGAGCACGACCCGCGCCACUCGCACUGAGACACUGGCGAGACACCGACGGGUGGCUGCAGUCGAGGAUCUUCGGCAAUGAGCGCAAGCUUGACCGAGCGAUGCCGCGUGAGCGAUGAAGGCCUUCGGGUUGUAAAGCUCUUUAGUGGGGGAGAAAAGCCGCAAGGUGUGAUCUAUCCCAAAAAUAAGCACGGGCUAAGUUCGUGCCAGCCGCCGCCGUAA
This 462-nucleotide ribosomal RNA is filed under the name uncultured bacterium. RNAcentral describes it as "partial 16S ribosomal RNA". It matches the Rfam family "Bacterial small subunit ribosomal RNA", at positions 29 to 523 of the family's 1533-position model. The record is from RNAcentral.